This is a non-coding RNA of Trichobilharzia regenti, 45 nucleotides long. NCBI's taxonomy places the organism in Eukaryota, Metazoa, Platyhelminthes, Trematoda, Strigeidida, Schistosomatidae. The record is from Rfam.
AUCCAGGUGAUGAGUCCCGAACAGGAAGAAAUGCGCGUCCUGUAU